AGAACCACGUCACCUGCCUAUCCCAGCCAGACAAAAGUCAACUACUGCUGAGGCAUGGGCUUAAUAAAUGUUGACUAAAAUAUCCAACUCAACAACCGAUCCUGUAUAAUUUUCAAAGUGUGUCAAUAACUUGCUGGGUCCAACCUGCAGACCCUGGCUGUGUGACAGAUGAAGAAAUGCACUCAGACACACAUCCCCUACAAAAGACUAUGUUUCUUCUCAGCUUGCUCAGUCCAGCUGAGCCAGCUUUCCACUGGACUCCUGAAUGUGAGAAGGACACAGGCUCCCAGGACCAUCCAGAAGCAUGUCUCAUCACCAUAAAGCUCUGAAACACUGGCUGGGUGCAGAGGCUUAUGCCCGUAAUCCCAACACAUUCAGAGGCUGAGGUGGGAGGAUUGCUUGAGGCCAGGAAUUCAAGACCAGACUAGGCAGCAUAGCAAGACCCAUCUCUACAAAAAGUACACCCCAAAAUUAGCUGGGUGUGGUGGCACACGCCUGUAGUCUCAAUUAAUUGGGAGGCUGAGGCGGGACUAUCCUUUGAGCCCAGGAGUUUGAGGCUGCAGUGAGGUAUGAUCUCACCACCACACUCCAGCCUGGGAGAUAGACUGAGACCAUCUCUAAAACAACAACAGGCCAGGUGCAGUGGCUCAUGCCUGUAAUCCCAGCAAUUUGGGAGGCCGAGGCAGGUGGAUCACCUGAGAUCAGGAGUUCAAGACCAGCCUGGGCAACCUGGUGAAAUCCUGUCUCUACUAAAAAUACAAAAAAUUAGCAGGGCAUGGUGGCACGCACCUGUAACCCCAGCUACUCAGGAGGCCGAGGCAGGAGCAUUGCUUGUACCCAGGAGGCAGAGAUUGCAGUGAGCUGAGAUCACGCCAUUGCACUCCAGUCUGAGCAACAAGAGCAAAACUUCGUCUCAAAAAAUUAAAAAAUAUAAAAAAUAAAACAACAACAACAACAACAAAUGAGACAGAAAACGGAAAUAUUUUAAGUUUCAUUAUUGCUUGUUAGUUGAUUAAAGUAAUUCGGCUUCCACUUUAUUUUUAAAGACACUAAUUGCUACACUGAAUAAAACCUUAAUCCAGUUUCA
Molecule: long non-coding RNA, 1087 nt
Organism: Nomascus leucogenys (northern white-cheeked gibbon)
Lineage: Eukaryota; Metazoa; Chordata; Mammalia; Primates; Hylobatidae
Exons: 3
Source: RefSeq, a predicted model, not a curated record